RNAcentral lists this ribosomal RNA (465 nucleotides) under uncultured Klebsiella sp. RNAcentral describes it as "bacterial SSU rRNA". It matches the Rfam family "Bacterial small subunit ribosomal RNA", at positions 338 to 795 of the family's 1533-position model. Lineage: Bacteria; Pseudomonadati; Pseudomonadota; Gammaproteobacteria; Enterobacterales; Enterobacteriaceae. The record is from RNAcentral.
CCUACGGGUGGCUGCAGUGGGGAAUAUUGCACAAUGGGCGCAAGCCUGAUGCAGCCAUGCCGCGUGUGUGAAGAAGGCCUUCGGGUUGUAAAGCACUUUCAGCGGGGAGGAAGGCGGUGAGGUUAAUAACCUCAUCGAUUGACGUUACCCGCAGAAGAAGCACCGGCUAACUCCGUGCCAGCAGCCGCGGUAAUACGGAGGGUGCAAGCGUUAAUCGGAAUUACUGGGCGUAAAGCGCACGCAGGCGGUCUGCCAAGUCGGAUGUGAAAUCCCCGGGCUCAACCGGGGAACUGCAUUCGAAACUGGCAGGCUAGAGUCUUGUAGAGGGGGGUAGAAUUCCAGGUGUAGCGGUGAAAUGCGUAGAGAUCUGGAGGAAUACCGGUGGCGAAGGCGGCCCCCUGGACAAAGGCUGACGCUCAGGUGCGAAAGCGUGGGGAGCAAACAGGAUUAGAUACCCCAGUAGUC